This 1537-nucleotide ribosomal RNA is filed under the name metagenome. Its description in RNAcentral is "bacterial LSU rRNA". It matches the Rfam family "Bacterial large subunit ribosomal RNA", at positions 1360 to 2925 of the family's 2925-position model. The record is from RNAcentral.
UAAAGCUGAUCUGCCCUGGGUAAGUCGGGGCCUAAGGCGAGGCAGAAAUGCGUAGUCGAUGGACAACAGGUUGAGAUUCCUGCACCCGUAAUGAACAGAGCUGUAGUGACACGGAAGGUAAGACAGAGCCGGGAAUGAGAAAACCGGUGCAAGCACAAUAGAUGUGCGGGAGGAAAAACCCCCGCAUAAGUCGAAGGUGUGAUGCGGACCGAAAAAGAGUAGGGAAGCUGUUAAGCAAGCCGUCAAGAAAAGCUGCUAUUGUUUCAUUAUGGCCCGUACCGUAAACCGACACAGGUGGAUGGGGAGAGAAUCCUAAGGCCGGCGGAAGAAGUAUUGUUAAGGAACUCGGCAAAAUGACCCCGUAACUUCGGGAGAAGGGGUGCCUGCGAGAGCAGGCCGCAGAGAAGAGGCCCAAGCAACUGUUUAGCAAAAACACAGGUCUAUGCAAAACCGAAAGGUGAGGUAUAUGGGCUGACGCCUGCCCGGUGCUGGAAGGUUAAGGGGAGUGGUCAGGAAACGAAGCCACGAACUUAAGCCCCAGUAAACGGCGGCCGUAACAAUAACGGUCCUAAGGUAGCGAAAUUCCUUGUCGGGUAAGUCCCGACCCGCACGAAAGGCGUAAUGAUUUGGGCGCUGUCUCGACAAUACAUCCGGUGAAAUUGAAGUGCCAGUGAAGAUGCUGGCUACCUGCGCCAGGACGGAAAGACCCCAUGGAGCUUUACUCCAGCUUGAUACUGGGACCCGGUAUUGCAUGUACAGGAUAGGUGGGAGGCUAGGAAAUGUGGACGCCAGUCUGCAUGGAGCCGCUGUUGGGAUACUACCCUUGUGGUGCUGGGUUUCUAACCAGAGGCCGUGAACCGGUCUGGGGACAAUGUCAGGUGGGGAGUUUGACUGGGGCGGUCGCCUCCGAAAGGGUAUCGGAGGCGCCCAAAGGUUCCCUCAGAAUGGUUGGAAACCAUUCGAAGAGUGCAAAGGCAGAAGGGAGCUUGACUGCGACACCGACGGGUGGAGCAGGUACGAAAGUAGGGCUUAGUGAUCCGGUGGAAUUUAAGUGGGAAUGCCAUCGUUCAACGGAUAAAAGCUACCCUGGGAUAACAGGCUGAUCACUCCCAAGAGUUCACAUCGACGGAGUGGUUUGGCACCUCGAUGUCGGCUCAUCGCAUCCUGGGGCUGAAGUCGGCCCCAAGGGUCGGGCUGUUCGCCCAUUAAAGCGGUACGCGAGCUGGGUUCAGAACGUCGUGAGACAGUUCGGUCCCUAUCCGGCGUGGGCGUAGGAUAUCUGAGAGGAGCUGUCCUUAGUACGAGAGGACCGGGAUGGACUGACCUCUGGUGUACCGGUUGGCGAUCAACGCCACGGCCGGGUAGCCAUGUCGGGACGGGAUAAACGCUGAAGGCAUCUAAGCGUGAAGCCCCCCUCAAGAUGAGAUAACCCAUCGUAAGAGUAAGACCCCUUGAAGACGACAAGGUUGAUAGGGCAGGGGUGGAAGUGCCGUAAGGCAUGGAGCUGACUGCUACUAAUCGGUCGAGGGCUUGACUA